UACGUAGGGGGCUAGCGUUGUCCGGAAUCAUUGGGCGUAAAGCGUGUGUAGGCGGAUCGUUAAGUACCUUGUGAAAUCCCACGGCUCAACCGUGGAACUGCUGGGUAUACUGGCGGUCUUGAGCCACCUAGGGGCAACUGGAACAAGCGGUGGAGCGGUGAAAUGCGUAGAUAUCGCUUGGAACGCCAACGGUGAAAACAGGUUGCUGGGGGUGUGCUGACGCUGAGACACGAAAGCCAGGGGAGCGAACGGG
Molecule: ribosomal RNA, 253 nt
Filed under: uncultured bacterium
Lineage: Bacteria
Description: partial 16S ribosomal RNA
Rfam family: Bacterial small subunit ribosomal RNA
Source: RNAcentral